GCAUAUCAAUAAGCGGAGGAAAAGAAACCAACCGGGAUUGCCUCAGUAACGGCGAGUGAAGCGGCAAGAGCUCAAAUUUGAAAUCUGGCCCCCCUCGGGGUCCGAGUUGUAAUUUGCAGAGGAUGCUUCGGGUGCGGCCCCCGUCUAAGUGCCCUGGAACGGGCCGUCAUAGAGGGUGAGAAUCCCGUCUGGGACGGGGUGUCCGCGUCCGUGUGAAGCUCCUUCGACGAGUCGAGUUGUUUGGGAAUGCAGCUCUAAAUGGGUGGUAAAUUUCAUCUAAAGCUAAAUACUGGCCGGAGACCGAUAGCGCACAAGUAGAGUGAUCGAAAGAUGAAAAGCACUUUGAAAAGAGAGUUAAAAAGCACGUGAAAUUGUUGAAAGGGAAGCGCUUGCGACCAGACUCGCCCGCGGGGUUCAGCCGGCAUUCGUGCCGGUGUACUUCCCCGCGGGCGGGCCAGCGUCGGUUUGGGCGGCCGGUCAAAGGCCCCCGGAAUGUAGUGCCCCUACGGGGGCACCUUAUAGCCGGGGGUGCAAUGCGGCCAGCCUGGACCGAGGAACGCGCUUCGGCACGGACGCUGGCAUAAUGGUUGCAAACGACCCGUCUUGAAACACGGACCAAGGAGUCUAACAUCUACGCGAGUGUUCGGGUGUCAAACCCGUGCGCGCAGUGAAAGCGAACGGAGGUGGGAGCCCCCCCGCGGGGCGCACCAUCGACCGAUCCUGAUGUCUUCGGAUGGAUUUGAGUAAGAGCGUAAAUGUGGGGACCCGAAAGAUGGUGAACUAUGCCUGAAUAGGGCGAAGCCAGAGGAAACUCUGGUGGAGGCUCGCAGCGGUUCUGACGUGCAAAUCGAUCGUCAAAUUUGGGUAUAGGGGGCGAAAGACUAAUCGAAACCAUCUGGUAGCUGGGUCUGCGAG
This 915-nucleotide ribosomal RNA is filed under the name Aspergillus fresenii. RNAcentral describes it as "LSU rRNA". It matches the Rfam family "Eukaryotic large subunit ribosomal RNA", at positions 38 to 963 of the family's 3401-position model. The record is from RNAcentral. Lineage: Eukaryota; Fungi; Ascomycota; Eurotiomycetes; Eurotiales; Aspergillaceae.